This is a non-coding RNA of Cinara cedri, 1091 nucleotides long. The record is from the annotation of a GenBank genome assembly. NCBI's taxonomy places the organism in Eukaryota, Metazoa, Arthropoda, Insecta, Hemiptera, Aphididae.
GCACUUGUGCAACGGAUAUCAAUGUAUCCCUUGAAGUCUCCGCAAAACGUCAAAUAUGUGCUGAACAUUAUAGAGUCGUCGUUAACCUCAUUUUCUAUUAAAUAGACAAGAAUGAAAGACAUUUUAUGGCAUAUUUCUUGUAACAUAUCCAUCAUAUCAUUCGUGUUCUUUAAGUCUUUUUGGUUGCUUUUGAAAGUGUCUUUGUACUAUUCAAUAUAGUAUUUGUACAAUAUNGCACUAGUGCAACGGAUAUCAGUGUAUUCCUUAAAGUCUGCGCAAAACGUCAAGUACAAGCCGAAUAUUAUCGAGUCGUCGUCAACCUCAUUUUCGUUUAAAUAGACUAGAAUUAAAGACAUUUUAUGACAUAUUUCUUGUAAUAUAUCCAUCAUAUCAUUCGUGUUCUUUAAGUCUUUUUCGGUUGCUUUUGAAAGUUUCUUUGUACUAUUCAAUAAAGUAUUUGUACAAUAUUGUUGGAGUUUCUUUAAUGUAUAAAAAACAAUUUCUUGCAUUGUUUCGAGCUUUGACAAAUCUUUUGACCGAAUAUCAAUAUUUGAUAAAUCGCAAUCAUUCCGAAGUUCAUUUGUAUAAUUUUUAUUGAGUUCCAGAAAAUGUACAUUGUUUUUAGAAUUUAUUUGUAUUUUAUUGUCCCUGGUAAUUAUUUAAGUCACCUUGAAUUUUAUUUCGUUAAUAUGCGAAUUAUGUUCAUUAUAAUGAUAUUUUAGUUUACCGAGAUUUUCACUCAUGCAUGAUAUAAAAUCGAUAUAACCAAUGGUUUCGUAAACAUUUGGAUUGAAAUGUAUACUCUCAUUUUUGUAGUUCGGCUGCCGAAACAGUUUGUCACUAAUAUUUGUCUUAAUUUCCGUCAUUGAUACUAAAGUUGCUAAAUUUUUCUCAAUUGUUUUUUCAACAAGUUGUUUUUCGAUAUUAUAAGGUGACGCAUUGAUAUAUGUCUUGAAAUAGGUUGGUAAUGUAUAACAAAGAACUAUAUGAAUUUUAUUCAACAGAACUGUUAUUGAAUUCUGAAAGACAUUAAUUUUAAUAAAAUCUAAACAUAUCGGGAGAAAUGAACAGAUCUUUAAAAGAUAUUCCAC